Molecule: ribosomal RNA, 918 nt
Filed under: uncultured Acidocella sp.
Lineage: Bacteria; Pseudomonadati; Pseudomonadota; Alphaproteobacteria; Acetobacterales; Acidocellaceae
Description: bacterial SSU rRNA
Rfam family: Bacterial small subunit ribosomal RNA
Source: RNAcentral
AGGCCUAACACAUGCAAGUCGCACGGUCAGCAAUGGCAGUGGCGGACGGGUGAGUAACACGUAGGAAUCUAUCCCAGGGUGGGGGACAACAGCGGGAAACUGCUGCUAAUACCGCAUGAUACCUGAGGGUCAAAGGCUUUAAGUCGCCUUGGGAGGAGCCUGCGUCUGAUUAGCUAGUUGGUGGGGUAAAGGCCUACCAAGGCGACGAUCAGUAGCUGGUCUGAGAGGAUGAUCAGCCACAUUGGGACUGAGACACGGCCCAAACUCCUACGGGAGGCAGCAGUGGGGAAUAUUGGACAAUGGGGGCAACCCUGAUCCAGCAAUGCCGCGUGUGUGAAGAAGGUCUUCGGAUUGUAAAGCACUUUUGGCAGGGACGAUGAUGACGGUACCUGCAGAAUAAGCCCCGGCUAACUUCGUGCCAGCAGCCGCGGUAAUACGAAGGGGGCUAGCGUUGCUCGGAAUGACUGGGCGUAAAGGGCGCGUAGGCGGCAUGUACAGUCAGAAGUGAAAUUCCUGGGCUUAACCUGGGGACUGCUUUUGAUACGUGCAAGCUAGAGUGAGGAAGAGGGUUGUGGAAUUUCCAGUGUAGAGGUGGAAUUCGUAGAUAUUGGAAAGAACACCGGUGGCGAAGGCGGCAACCUGGUCCUUUACUGACGCUGAGGCGCGAAAGCGUGGGGAGCAAACAGGAUUAGAUACCCUGGUAGUCCACGCUGUAAACGAUGUGUGCUGGAUGUUGGAAAACUUAGUUUUUCAGUGUCGUAGCUAACGCGAUAAGCACACCGCCUGGGGAGUACGGCCGCAAGGUUGAAACUCAAAGGAAUUGACGGGGGCCCGCACAAGCGGUGGAGUACGUGGUUUAAUUCGAAGCAACGCGCAGAACUUUACCAGGAUUUGACAUGGGGAGGACCGGUACAGAGA